GCCUCCACCUGGAUUCCACGCCUCCUCACCACUUCAGGCUUCUUCCUCAGUGCGUGGAGCUGGCUGUGCCUUGAGUACAUCAGGCAGAUGGUUGGUUCCCAUUGCAUCAACAAACAAGGAAACCAAGCUGAAAGAAGAGGCACAAGUUGUUUCAUCUGAGACUAAAAAAAAAGCUAGACAGGAGGCAACAGAUGAUGUGAGUGAUACUGAUGAGUCAAAAGGCGCAGUCAGCGGCAGAGUGUGCGCUUCGUCCCGGAGACAAGAGAAUCAACGGAGAGAAUGUUACGUCAACCACUAAUUUGUUAAUUAAUUUUACAGAAAGGCAUCUAUGUCUCCUUACCCUCCCCCCACAAUGGCAUUUCCUCAUUCCACUGUACACUGACGUGGAGAAUUUUUCAAAAACACAAAUCUUGUAUAGUUCCUGACUAUUCACUCAAGCGGUCCGGGUUAUUUUUAUUUUUAUUUUUUUUGUCUCAAUGGAUCUGAACCAGAGCUUCAUGUUUGUCAGUGGGUCUCUGGCCUCCUUAUGAGAGGGAAUUACUCGUUACACCACCAUCCCCCACCCCUACAAGUAUGCUGUUCACAGUGAAGUCCAUCAUCAGUGUAGGGAGUGGGACCCGGCCGGGGUCAUUGGCUGAAAUCCUGCUGCCACUAGAAAUCAAGAAAAACACACAAGAGAAAUAGAGAAUGAUGAGUGGCUGAAAUAUCUACUGGGAAGAUAUUUAAAAUCCUCGGAAAUGUCGAGAGUAGGGCUGUGAACCCUAUGUUAGGACAAAGUAAUUCACAUCGCAUAAUCAUAAAGAGAUCAUCUGGUCCAUUGUUUUUAAAAUUAUUUCUUAGCAGAUUCUGUUCUCAAGCAAAAUCUUAGGCAGGCUUCUAAUACCACAAAAGGAAUAGUGAAGAUAAAGGAAGAGCUGCUCAUACUGGGAAUAUCCCAGCAUAGAUUAUUCUACAUGGUUCUAAGACAUUUCUAAUUCAAAACGGCAAGACUAAAGAGCAAAGAGUUUGCAAGAAUGUGAAUUUGCUGUUCAGUAAUUGAGCUCACUGAAAACAAAAGUGCAGCUACAACCCAAUCUCUUUUCAGAGCACAUUGGAAUGGGGUUCUUUCUAGCACUCAGUAUGUUCACAACAACUGUUCAGUGAAGUAUGGGGUACAUGGAAAAAUCUACAUUGCAGUUUAGAAAACUUCCCAGUGAAUGGUCGAAUUCAAACACCAUAUGUCAAACCAUUCACUUUUAUUGAUCAAGACAGGUUGUUCUCGUAGAGGGAAGGCUUAAUUUAAUGACUCUGGAUAACAGGUGGCUUGGUUCAUAUGUUGAUAACUAUAGAUAAUGUGCUCUUGUUUUUUAUAGUAGUACACACAUCUUUCGGGACUGGAAGCCCCAAAUAACAAAAUGCCUCAUUCACCAGCCUCUUUGCCUAUCAUCACCAUCACCCGCCUCUUCCUGGUCAUACCUGAGAAACUUCUCCUAGUCAAGGUACUAUGGUCAGUGCCGACAGGGCUUCCACGAGCUCCUCCCAGAGUGACACCGUCUGUCUAUGUGAAUCAGAGAAGGCUCUUCCUUUUCCAGUACUAUGGAAUAAUUACGAGGGAUGCAUUGAAUCCUAGCAGCAUGGGCUGUCCUCAGUAGGAUGAUGCUGUGCAUGAUGGAAAGUCACUAUACCACUUAAGAGGAGCAGUUGCUGAGCCCUCAUCCUUUACCAGCCCUCCACUGCUCUUUCCCAUCAUAGCCUCAGGGUGACUAUGAAGGGGCAGCAGGAGGAGACCUUUCUGUUGAGGGCAUAGUUCUGCACAGGAAUCUACACAUCUUGUAGGAUGGCACGGGACUACACACAUUGUAGCAAUAUGAAUUUCCUGGUUUUAAUAUUGCAAUGUUGUUCCACAACACGUAACCACAGAGGGAAGCCGCAAAGUGGAUUAGAGAUCUCUCCAUAUUAGUUUUGCAUUUUCCUGUUAAUCUAUAAUCAUGUCAAAAUAAAAGGUUUUCUUUAAAAAAAAA
This 2000-nucleotide long non-coding RNA is filed under the name Homo sapiens (human). RNAcentral describes it as "HSALNT0375198". The record is from RNAcentral. Lineage: Eukaryota; Metazoa; Chordata; Mammalia; Primates; Hominidae.